UGGGGAAUAUUGGGCAAUGGAGGAAACUCUGACCCAGCGACGCCGCGUGCGGGAUGAAGGCCUUCGGGUUGUAAAGCUCUUUUACCCGGGAUGAUAAUGACAGUACCGGGAGAAUAAGCUCCGGCUAACUCCGUGCCAGCAGCCGCGGUAAUACAUAGGGUGCAAGCGUUGUCCGGAAUUAUUGGGCGUAAAGAGCUCGUAGGUGGUUCGUCACGUCGGAUGUGAAAAUCUGGGGCUUAACCCCAGACCUGCAUUCGAUACGGGCGAGCUAGAGUGUGGUAGGGGAGACUGGAAUUCCUGGUGUAGCGGUGGAAUGCGCAGAUAUCAGGAGGAACACCAAUGGCGAAGGCAGGUCUCUGGGCCAUUACUGACACUGAGGAGCGAAAGCGUGGGGCGCGAACAGG
This 404-nucleotide ribosomal RNA is filed under the name uncultured bacterium. Its description in RNAcentral is "bacterial SSU rRNA". It matches the Rfam family "Bacterial small subunit ribosomal RNA", at positions 355 to 776 of the family's 1533-position model. The record is from RNAcentral.